UCGGGUUGUAAAAUCCUUUACGGGGUGACGAGGAAGGACGGUAGCCCCGGAACAAGCGUCGGCUAACUACGUGCCAGCAGCCGCGGUAAGACGUAGGACGCAAGCGUUAUCCGGAUUUACUGGGCGUAAAGCGUCUGUAGGCGGAUGAGUAAGUUGGGCGUGAAAGCUCCGGGCUCAACCCGGAGAGGCCGUUCAAUACUGCUGAUCUAGAGGAGGCCAGAGGGGAGUGGAAUUCCUGGAGUAGCGGUAAAAUGCGCAGAUAUCAGGAAGAACACCAGUGGCGAAGGCGGCUCCCUAGGGCCCACCUGACGCUGAGAGACGACAGCUAGGGGAGCGAACAGGAUUAGAGACCCUGGUAGUCCUAGCCGUAAACGAUGGAUGCUAGGUGUAGGGCCGUAGAGGCUCUGUGCCGGAGCGAACGCGAUAAGCAUCCCGCCUGGGGAGUACGGCCGCAAGGCUAAAACUCAAACGAAUUGACGGGGACCCGCACAAGCAGCGGAGCGUGUGGUUUAAUUUGAUGCUACACGAAGAACCUUACCUGGGUUUGACAUGGGCGUGGUAGUGAAGCGAAAGCGGAGCGACCCUUCGGGGAGCGUCCACAGGUGCUGCAUGGCUGUCGUCAGCUCGUGCCGUGAGGUGUCGGGUUAAGUCCCGUAACGAGCGCAACCCUUGCCCUUAGUUACAAGUGUCUAAGGGGACUGCCGGCGGGAAGCCGGAGGAAGGUGGGGAUGACGUCAAGUCAGCAUGGCCCUUAUAUCCAGGGCUACACACACGCUACAAUGGCCGGUACAGAGGGCAGCGAAGCCGCGAGGUGGAGCGAAUCCCAGAAAGCCGGUCGUAGUUCGGAUUGCAGGCUGCAACCCGCCUGCAUGAAGCUGGAGUUGCUAGUAACCGCGCGUCAGCCAUAGUGCGGUGAAUACGUUCCCGGGUCUUGUACACACCGCCCGUCACGUCAUGGGAGUCGGUAACGCCUGAAGCCGGUAGCCUGACCCGCAAGGGAGGCGCUGUCGAGG
Molecule: ribosomal RNA, 1013 nt
Filed under: uncultured organism
Description: bacterial SSU rRNA
Rfam family: Bacterial small subunit ribosomal RNA
Source: RNAcentral